This 343-nucleotide unclassified non-coding RNA is filed under the name soil metagenome. RNAcentral describes it as "partial contains small subunit ribosomal RNA, internal transcribed spacer 1, and 5.8S ribosomal RNA". The record is from RNAcentral.
UUUCCGUAGGUGAACCUGCGGAAGGAUCAUUAUUGAAUAUUCUUGAUGGGUUGUAGCUGGCUCUUUGGGGCAUGUGCACGCCUGUCUUGACUUUAUUCAUCCACCUGUGCACCUUUUGUAGUCUUGGGGGUUGAGAGCAGUCAAUAAUCGGACGACCAUUGGUCACUCCGGAUGUGAGGAAUGCUGAGUGCGAAAGCAUACAGCUCUUCUCAAAGUGACUUGUAAACCUCUCCUUCAAGUACUAUGUAUUCAUAUACCCAUAGUAUGUUGUAGAAUGUGAUGAAUGGGCCUAAGUGCCUAUAACAAUCUUAUACAACUUUCAGCAACGGAUCUCUUGGCUCUC